Molecule: long non-coding RNA, 1223 nt
Organism: Apis laboriosa (Himalayan honeybee)
Lineage: Eukaryota; Metazoa; Arthropoda; Insecta; Hymenoptera; Apidae
Exons: 3
Source: RefSeq, a predicted model, not a curated record
ACGUUUCCCUCGCAGAUCUCGCGAUUCGUAGAGCCAUAGGCGUCGUUGGACCAAAAAAACUCUGUUCACCGUGUUAAGAGUGGGAGGUGAGAUCAUGUAAGAAUAUCAAACGCAUUGACGUCUUACGCAGCAAGGAAGGUAAUUAUUUCGGAUGUACUUUGUCACACGGUUGGCCUCGAAAUUAGAAAUUUCGUACAGUGUGAACUGGUGUAGCUCGAAUUUACGUGCGCGAUAGACAGAGAGAGGUGGGAGAGAGGGAAAGAGAGUCAGAAAGAGAGAGAGAUAGUGUGAGACAGAGAGAUAGGAACAGCGCGUGUGCGUGUAUACAAGAAGAAGAGAGAUAGAGAUUGAAAGAUAAAGAGAUGCAUCGACGGAACAGAUAUUCGCAUGCAAUUCUGCCCCGAUUUGUCACAGGUAUCAAGAAAAGAAUUGAAUAAAGCGUAAUACUACGGAGAAUCAUAUCAGAAUUCCAAAGGGGCCUCGAAUGCGCGACACGUGCGACUUCGAAUUAGAAAAAGUAAACACGCGUUCGGCCAGGUGGCGCGGAAUGUCGUUGCUACAUCGAUGAGCAGUUUUACGCGCACAGCUCAAGUGAUCAAAGGUGAAGGAGGCAAACACGAAACAUCGAAACGACGUCCAACGGAAACAGAAUAUCCCCAGAAAAGUAUGAGAGGGAGCCAGCCGAUCGGUGGAAGCGUGGAGGCAGUGAUCCGGUGAAGCAUCUUCACGGAGGGAGGAACGUAACGAGGAGGAAAGGGAAGGGCGAGGAGAAAAGAGCAACGGAGGAGGGUUCAGUGGCAAUAGCAGGAAGAGAACGCGCGGCAAAGGAAUAAUUCCCCGUGUUUCCAAGGAACGCGUUUCGAAUUACCGGCGGAUCGCGUUGCAUUCUGUUCGUCGCGCUUGGCUAGCACCGAGCAAAUCUAAUUCCUUUCGGACUCUCGGGUGCCGAACUCCUCCUCCUCCUCCUCCUCCUUUUAACCGCUCCCCCCUUUUCCUUCCGCCCGCUCUUUUCGCUUUGUUUUUCCGACCCCGGAUCCCUUCCCUCUUCACGGAUGGCUAUCCGCUUGUCCUUUGUUCCCCUUGAUCAUCCUUUCUCUUAACUUUCCUCCACCAUGGGCGUAACCAUCGCCCAGGAUGAAUGGGUUGAAUGGCUUGUCCUCCUUCCGAGGAUGAUGUCUGGACGACGUAGGAUAUCGUACUUUUUUCGAAUACAAUGGCCGGGG